UCGGGGAACGAUAACGGCGUCGAGCGGCGGACGGGUGAGUAAUGCCUAGGAAAUUGCCCUGAUGUGGGGGAUAACCAUUGGAAACGAUGGCUAAUACCGCAUGAUGCCUACGGGCCAAAGAGGGGGACCUUCGGGCCUCUCGCGUCAGGAUAUGCCUAGGUGGGAUUAGCUAGUUGGUGAGGUAAGGGCUCACCAAGGCGACGAUCCCUAGCUGGUCUGAGAGGAUGAUCAGCCACACUGGAACUGAGACACGGUCCAGACUCCUACGGGAGGCAGCAGUGGGGAAUAUUGCACAAUGGGCGCAAGCCUGAUGCAGCCAUGCCGCGUGUAUGAAGAAGGCCUUCGGGUUGUAAAGUACUUUCAGUCGUGAGGAAGGCGGCGUCGUUAAUAGCGGCGUUGUUUGACGUUAGCGACAGAAGAAGCACCGGCUAACUCCGUGCCAGCAGCCGCGGUAAUACGGAGGGUGCGAGCGUUAAUCGGAAUUACUGGGCGUAAAGCG
RNAcentral lists this ribosomal RNA (499 nucleotides) under Vibrio alginolyticus. Its description in RNAcentral is "bacterial SSU rRNA". It matches the Rfam family "Bacterial small subunit ribosomal RNA", at positions 73 to 567 of the family's 1533-position model. The record is from RNAcentral. Lineage: Bacteria; Pseudomonadati; Pseudomonadota; Gammaproteobacteria; Vibrionales; Vibrionaceae.